CUCGCCCCGGCCGGGAAAGCGGUGCAGCACCUGAUGGGCGCUGAACGUGAUCACGUUCGACGCGCGGGGCAGGU
Molecule: transfer RNA, 74 nt
Filed under: Actinoplanes sp. NBRC 103695
Lineage: Bacteria; Bacillati; Actinomycetota; Actinomycetes; Micromonosporales; Micromonosporaceae
Description: tRNA-Ile
Source: RNAcentral